Molecule: ribosomal RNA, 1528 nt
Filed under: Klebsiella oxytoca
Lineage: Bacteria; Pseudomonadati; Pseudomonadota; Gammaproteobacteria; Enterobacterales; Enterobacteriaceae
Also listed under: 52 other names
Description: bacterial SSU rRNA
Rfam family: Bacterial small subunit ribosomal RNA
Source: RNAcentral
AGAGUUUGAUCAUGGCUCAGAUUGAACGCUGGCGGCAGGCCUAACACAUGCAAGUCGAGCGGUAGCACAGAGAGCUUGCUCUCGGGUGACGAGCGGCGGACGGGUGAGUAAUGUCUGGGAAACUGCCUGAUGGAGGGGGAUAACUACUGGAAACGGUAGCUAAUACCGCAUAACGUCGCAAGACCAAAGUGGGGGACCUUCGGGCCUCAUGCCAUCAGAUGUGCCCAGAUGGGAUUAGCUAGUAGGUGGGGUAACGGCUCACCUAGGCGACGAUCCCUAGCUGGUCUGAGAGGAUGACCAGCCACACUGGAACUGAGACACGGUCCAGACUCCUACGGGAGGCAGCAGUGGGGAAUAUUGCACAAUGGGCGCAAGCCUGAUGCAGCCAUGCCGCGUGUGUGAAGAAGGCCUUCGGGUUGUAAAGCACUUUCAGCGGGGAGGAAGGCGAUAAGGUUAAUAACCUUGUCGAUUGACGUUACCCGCAGAAGAAGCACCGGCUAACUCCGUGCCAGCAGCCGCGGUAAUACGGAGGGUGCAAGCGUUAAUCGGAAUUACUGGGCGUAAAGCGCACGCAGGCGGUCUGUCAAGUCGGAUGUGAAAUCCCCGGGCUCAACCUGGGAACUGCAUUCGAAACUGGCAGGCUAGAGUCUUGUAGAGGGGGGUAGAAUUCCAGGUGUAGCGGUGAAAUGCGUAGAGAUCUGGAGGAAUACCGGUGGCGAAGGCGGCCCCCUGGACAAAGACUGACGCUCAGGUGCGAAAGCGUGGGGAGCAAACAGGAUUAGAUACCCUGGUAGUCCACGCCGUAAACGAUGUCGAUUUGGAGGUUGUGCCCUUGAGGCGUGGCUUCCGGAGCUAACGCGUUAAAUCGACCGCCUGGGGAGUACGGCCGCAAGGUUAAAACUCAAAUGAAUUGACGGGGGCCCGCACAAGCGGUGGAGCAUGUGGUUUAAUUCGAUGCAACGCGAAGAACCUUACCUGGUCUUGACAUCCACAGAACUUUCCAGAGAUGGAUUGGUGCCUUCGGGAACUGUGAGACAGGUGCUGCAUGGCUGUCGUCAGCUCGUGUUGUGAAAUGUUGGGUUAAGUCCCGCAACGAGCGCAACCCUUAUCCUUUGUUGCCAGCGGUCCGGCCGGGAACUCAAAGGAGACUGCCAGUGAUAAACUGGAGGAAGGUGGGGAUGACGUCAAGUCAUCAUGGCCCUUACGACCAGGGCUACACACGUGCUACAAUGGCAUAUACAAAGAGAAGCGACCUCGCGAGAGCAAGCGGACCUCAUAAAGUAUGUCGUAGUCCGGAUUGGAGUCUGCAACUCGACUCCAUGAAGUCGGAAUCGCUAGUAAUCGUAGAUCAGAAUGCUACGGUGAAUACGUUCCCGGGCCUUGUACACACCGCCCGUCACACCAUGGGAGUGGGUUGCAAAAGAAGUAGGUAGCUUAACCUUCGGGAGGGCGCUUACCACUUUGUGAUUCAUGACUGGGGUGAAGUCGUAACAAGGUAACCGUAGGGGAACCUGCGGUUGGAUCACCU